AAAUUGAAGAGUUUGAUCAUGGCUCAGAUUGAACGCUGGCGGCAGGCCUAACACAUGCAAGUCGAACGGUAACAGGAAGCAGCUUGCUGCUUCGCUGACGAGUGGCGGACGGGUGAGUAAUGUCUGGGAAACUGCCUGAUGGAGGGGGAUAACUACUGGAAACGGUGGCUAAUACCGCAUAACGUCGCAAGACCAAAGAGGGGGACCUUCGGGCCUCUUGCCAUCAGAUGUGCCCAGAUGGGAUUAGCUUGUUGGUGAGGUAACGGCUCACCAAGGCGACGAUCCCUAGCUGGUCUGAGAGGAUGACCAGCCACACUGGAACUGAGACACGGUCCAGACUCCUACGGGAGGCAGCAGUGGGGAAUAUUGCACAAUGGGCGCAAGCCUGAUGCAGCCAUGCCGCGUGUAUGAAGAAGGCCUUCGGGUUGUAAAGUACUUUCAGCGGGGAGGAAGGUGUUGUGGUUAAUAACCACAGCAAUUGACGUUACCCGCAGAAGAAGCACCGGCUAACUCCGUGCCAGCAGCCGCGGUAAUACGGAGGGUGCAAGCGUUAAUCGGAAUUACUGGGCGUAAAGCGCACGCAGGCGGUCUGUCAAGUCGGAUGUGAAAUCCCCGGGCUCAACCUGGGAACUGCAUUCGAAACUGGCAGGCUUGAGUCUUGUAGAGGGGGGUAGAAUUCCAGGUGUAGCGGUGAAAUGCGUAGAGA
This 706-nucleotide ribosomal RNA is filed under the name Salmonella enterica. RNAcentral's name for it is "bacterial SSU rRNA". It matches the Rfam family "Bacterial small subunit ribosomal RNA", at positions 1 to 696 of the family's 1533-position model. Lineage: Bacteria; Pseudomonadati; Pseudomonadota; Gammaproteobacteria; Enterobacterales; Enterobacteriaceae. The record is from RNAcentral.